Molecule: long non-coding RNA, 261 nt
Filed under: Mytilus galloprovincialis (Mediterranean mussel)
Lineage: Eukaryota; Metazoa; Mollusca; Bivalvia; Mytilida; Mytilidae
Source: RNAcentral
CCAUGAAAUGCAUUUUUAGCCAUGGCCUUGUCAGUUUGCUUUAAAUUUAUGAGUUUGACUGUCCCUUUUGUGUCUUUCGUCCCUCUUCUUUAGACAUAUAAGAACUUUUCCUUUUCAAUAUAAAUAGACUAUUUUUAAUUAUUGAUUGUAUACGCAUAUUCUAUGACUCCCAUAAAAAAUAGUUCACAAAGAUUGACUAGUCUCUGUACUGUGUGUAUAGCAAGAACAUCAAGUAACAUAAUGGUAAAUGUACAUAGUAAC